GACGAACGCUGGCGGCGUGCCUAGUACAUGCAAGUUGAGCGCUGAAGGUUGGUACUUGUACCAACUGGAUGAGCAGCGAACGGGUGAGUAACGCGUGGGGAAUCUGCCUUUGAGCGGGGGACAACAUUUGGAAACGAAUGCUAAUACCGCAUAAAAACUUUAAACACAAGUUUUAAGUUUGAAAGAUGCAAUUGCAUCACUCAAAGAUGAUCCCGCGUUGUAUUAGCUAGUUGGUGAGGUAAAGGCUCACCAAGGCGAUGAUACAUAGCCGACCUGAGAGGGUGAUCGGCCACAUUGGGACUGAGACACGGCCCAAACUCCUACGGGAGGCAGCAGUAGGGAAUCUUCGGCAAUGGACGAAAGUCUGACCGAGCAACGCCGCGUGAGUGAAGAAGGUUUUCGGAUCGCAAAACUCUGUUGGUAGAGAAGAACGUUGGUGAGAGUGGAAAGCUCAUCAAGUGACGGUAACUACCCAGAAAGGGACGGCUAACUACGUG
This 497-nucleotide ribosomal RNA is filed under the name uncultured bacterium. RNAcentral describes it as "partial 16S ribosomal RNA". It matches the Rfam family "Bacterial small subunit ribosomal RNA", at positions 28 to 507 of the family's 1533-position model. The record is from RNAcentral.